RNAcentral lists this long non-coding RNA (2869 nucleotides) under Homo sapiens (human). Its description in RNAcentral is "HSALNT0054023". The record is from RNAcentral. Lineage: Eukaryota; Metazoa; Chordata; Mammalia; Primates; Hominidae.
GUGAGUAUAACAUGUGGCUUUUCCUGGAGGGCAGGGAACAGGAGUGGGAAGUCAGAGCUUGGGCAACGGGGACCGAGCUGCAGGGCCAUGUGACCUAGUGCCCCAGGGGAUUUGGCUGUCUUCCUUGGCUCCCGGAGCUCAGAGCAGUGCUGCAGCUCAUGCCAGGGCAUGUGAAGACAGAGCUAACUGGAGUGCAUGGGGUGCCUUUGGGUGGAGGUUGCUGAUGGCUGGGACAGAUGCACCCUGCCCACUGUCUCCUCUGGGGACAGUGACAUCUUUCCCUGCUCUGAUAGCUUGAAAGGACCUGCAUGGCUGAGCUGCCCAGGGGAGCAUUGAGGUGCUUCCUCUGUGUCCUGAGGAGCCAGGUGCUCUCUGCACCCCCAGCUGCUGGAGCCCAGAGGGUGGCAGCCUGGAGCUGGGGCAGCGGUGCCUGGUGCAGUGAGGACUCGGUCUGUGUGGCCUGGUUAGCACAGGACCAUGAGGAAGGGGUUUGGCCAAGGCAUCCCCAGGGACAAGCACGGAUGACAGCAGAUGCUGCUGUCUCUUGGGGCCUGCACCUCGGCAGAGGCUGAUUCCAGCUUGCAGUUCUCCGCCACUUGCAGGUGCGGCAUUGAAAUCAUUCCUUGGUCAUGGAGGACAUUCAGGACUUGAGCACUUACCAAAUCACCUUUGAAGUGGAGCCCUGUGUGUGCUGAGACCACUAGGACCCUGGAACGGGUGCCCGUCACUCACAGAGCCUGUCAGCUUCAGAGGCUGGAAAUGGAAAUCCCAGGCCUACUUGUACACAGGAAUCUCCUGGAGCGAGGAUGUCCUCUUUUCUGAUACCCGCAGAACUGGCAUUUAAGGGGAUGCCUGUGCAGUAUAGCGAAGGAUAGAGCCUCAGAAAUAGCCCUUCUGGAUCAAUCACGUCUCUAGUUUCUAUAAAUGGAAGCUUAACAUCUGCUCUGCAUGUGUAUGCCAGAUCCACCUUGUUCUGGACAACCCUGUGACAUGCCUGAGUCACCCAGCCUUGGCCCUUCCCUGCUCACUGCCUCCUCUCCCUCCUUCGAGAGAAGUCAUCCUCCCAGGAAUGUGCUUUUCAAAUACAAACCAACCAAUCCAGAGUCCACACACCGUACUAACUGGGCUCUCAUGAUCCAGGCCACUGUCCUCCUGCCCUAAUCACCUCAGGGCCAGGUACCAGACAACCAAGGACAGCACCUGUGCCCCAGAGCCUGCGGAGAUUACCUACUCACCCUGCCUCGCCCAUUCCUUCCUGCAGAAAACACAACUCAGACUCUUGCCCACAGUUCCCCAGCCCCUCUUGUGACUGACCCUGGUGCCUCCCCAUGUGACCCCACCAUGGCAUCAUGGGGGCUCCCUCUCUUGGGACCUGUUGGCAUGAUAAGCUAUGUUUCCAAUAGCAGUCAUCUCCUCAUCUCGGCCUCAUCACACCUAAAGAAUAAUAAAACCCGUUGAAACACCUUCAACUCAACAGGACAGACUGGCCCAUUGGAAUCAUUUAGACUUGCAGACAUUUUGUUCAUGCUGUACAGCGUUUCUUCCAGGUACUCUGUUUCGCAGCAGAAAGAGCAGGGCUGAGAUUCACAGACCUGACUUCAGAUCCCCCUUCUAUCACUUACUAGCAUGUGGUCAUCUAUAAUUUACAUAGAUGUGGAAUAAUCCACAGUUUUGAGUAUUUUACUCUCUAGACCUGUGGAAAAUUACUGCUUCCUUUAGUCCUAAAUGUGGAAAAGAAAAUUUGUGUUUAUAUUGUGCCACAAUCUGGGGGGAGGGAGGGAGGGAGAAAAAUGUCAUAUCUGAAACACUCAAAUGAAAACCUUAUAUGUUACUACAUACAUAAAUAUUCAUAUUUAUAGAUAUGUAAAUGUUUAUUUAAAUGUCAGUGGCACCUUCAUUAUUGCGGAUAAGUAGCCCUGGGUGAACAGUCUGUAUUUAUCAACAUCGAGAUUGAAAUUAAGGCUAACCAUUGACCUCAGCCUGCAAUUGACGUAGUUGACGCACUCUUUCAGAGUCAGAUGAUAGUUCAUCAGUAAAAUGAGAAUAAUAAUAACUACUUCCUAAUAUGGUACAGGAUUAAUUGAGAUACAUUUUGUAAAGGACUCCAAAGGAUGUCUUACACAAAGGAGAAGCUUAAGGAGCUCAUCCCUCUAACUCAGUCACCUGAAGAUCUCAUGGGUAAAGUCAGAGACAUCCUCACCCUGAAGAGAGUAGUGCAGGCAAGUGUGGGAAUGCUGUGUGUGGCAGAGACGACCCUGACCCUGGUCUUCUAAAUCAUUUAGAAGAACCGUGUUCUUUCUGAUGAAGAUUCCCACCUGAAAAUGUUCAUAUCAAGGUGACUGAUGUUCUAGAGCAGCAUUGUCCAGCGAAACUUUCUUCAGUGAUGGGAAGGUCCUGUGCCUCUGCUGUCCAGGAUGGCAUCCACUCCCACCUUUACCUACUGAGCACUUGAAAUGUGGCGACUGCAACUGAGGAGCUGAAUUUUUUUAUUUAAUUUAAAUUUAAGUUUAAAUUUAGGGAACCACAUGUGGCUCAUAGCUACCACGUUGGCAUAGACCUAGAGCUCAUCUAAAAAGUGAAACAAGUGUGGAUCCUCCUAUAACUAAGAAAAAAGAAAACUUACCCUUUCAUCUUGAGGUAGGAGGUGGGACUCAAUUCUGGAAGCAGGGCUCAGACAUUGGACCAAAUUGAGGACUAGUUAAAAUAGGAACUAGGAAUGGGGUGGAGACACCUUUCCAUAAGACAUGCCCACCAGUGUGCCAUGUCAAUUUACCAUUGUUGUGGCAACACCUGGAAGUUACCACCCCUUUCCAUGGCAAUGACCUGAUGACCCAGAAGUUACCACCCCUUUUCUAGAAAUUUCUGCAUA